UACGUAGGCAGCGAGCGUUGUUCGGAGUUACUGGGCGUAAAGGGUGUGUAGGCGGUUCUUUAAGUUUGGUGUGAAAUCUCCCGGCUCAACCGGGAGGGUGCGCCGAAUACUGAGGGACUUGGAGUGCGGGAGAGGAAAGUGGAAUUCCUGGUGUAGCGGUGAAAUGCGUAGAUAUCAGGAGGAACACCGGUGGUGUAGACGGCUUUCUGGACCGUAACUGACGCUGAGGAGCGAAAGCGUGGGGAGCGAACAGG
Molecule: ribosomal RNA, 254 nt
Filed under: uncultured bacterium
Lineage: Bacteria
Description: partial 16S ribosomal RNA
Rfam family: Bacterial small subunit ribosomal RNA
Source: RNAcentral